CCUACGGGAUGCUGCAGUGGGGAAUCUUGCACAAUGGGCGAAAGCCUGAUGCAGCGACGCCGCGUGGGGGAUGAAGCUUUUCGGAGUGUAAACCCCUUUCGAUCCGGACGCGGUACGGAUAUAAGAAGCCCCGGCUAACUACGUGCCAGCAGCCGCGGUAAUACGUAGGGGGCCAGCGUUGUUCGGAAUUACUGGGUGUAAAGGGUUCGUAGGCGGUGUGGCAAGUUGGGAGUGAAAUCUCUGGGCUCAACCCAGAGACGGCUUCCAAAACUGCCGUGCUUGAGUGUGAGAGAGGCUCGUGGAAUUGCAGGUGUAGCGGUGAAAUGCGUAGAUAUCUGCAGGAACACCCGUGGCGAAAGCGGCGAGCUGGAUCACACUGACGCUGAAGAACGAAAGCUAGGGGAGCAAACAGGAUUAGAUACCCUAGUAGUC
This 432-nucleotide ribosomal RNA is filed under the name uncultured bacterium. RNAcentral's name for it is "partial 16S ribosomal RNA". It matches the Rfam family "Bacterial small subunit ribosomal RNA", at positions 338 to 795 of the family's 1533-position model. The record is from RNAcentral.